RNAcentral lists this transfer RNA (70 nucleotides) under Dipodomys ordii (Ord's kangaroo rat). It matches the Rfam family "tRNA". From Rfam's summary of the family: Transfer RNA (tRNA) molecules are approximately 80 nucleotides in length. Their secondary structure includes four short double-helical elements and three loops (D, anti-codon, and T loops). Further hydrogen bonds mediate the characteristic L-shaped molecular structure. tRNAs have two regions of fundamental functional importance: the anti-codon, which is responsible for specific mRNA codon recognition, and the 3' end, to which the tRNAs corresponding amino acid is attached (by aminoacyl-tRNA synthetases). tRNAs cope with the degeneracy of the genetic code in two manners: having more than one tRNA (with a specific anti-codon) for a particular amino acid; and 'wobble' base-pairing, i.e. permitting non-standard base-pairing at the 3rd anti-codon position. Lineage: Eukaryota; Metazoa; Chordata; Mammalia; Rodentia; Heteromyidae. The record is from Rfam by way of RNAcentral.
GGGAAGGUGGCUCAGUGGUAGAGUGCUUGUCUUGCAUGCAUGAGGCCCUGGGCUCGAUUCCUCCAUACCA